AUGGCGAGCGGCGGCUACGGCUACGGCGGCCCCUACUCCUCCUACCAGCCUGCGGCCGCGCCCUUCUACUACGCGCAGCGGCCGGCGAGGGGCAGCGGCUCGCGCCCGCCGCUCCACCUCUUCCUGCUGCUCGCGACGCUCCUCCUCCUCGCCGCCACCUCGCUGUACGCGCGGUGCGAGGCGGCGGUGGAGGGCAUGGUCCAGCAGCUCCGGCCGCUGCUCAUCCUGUCCCCGCUGCUGCUCAUCGUCGCCGUGCAGCUCUGGGUGGCGACCAGCGGGGAUCAUCAAGGGCGAGGCGGGGGCGCACUCGCGUACCUCCUCGAGCAGGUGGCUCCGUCGGACCAGUACUACAGGAGCGGCACCCCGUACGGCCGGUGGGACGGCGGCUCGUCGCCGUGGGGCGUGGCGGUGGUGCUCGUGCUCGUCCUGAUCUUGGUCUCGUACCAGUCUUCGUUCCAGGAGUGGCGGUUGUUCCCGCUGCGCGGCCGGUGA
RNAcentral lists this ribosomal RNA (492 nucleotides) under Triticum aestivum (bread wheat). RNAcentral's name for it is "partial small subunit ribosomal RNA". Lineage: Eukaryota; Viridiplantae; Streptophyta; Magnoliopsida; Poales; Poaceae. The record is from RNAcentral.